Molecule: ribosomal RNA, 420 nt
Filed under: Phyllodactylus thompsoni
Lineage: Eukaryota; Metazoa; Chordata; Lepidosauria; Squamata; Phyllodactylidae
Description: partial 12S ribosomal RNA
Rfam family: Bacterial small subunit ribosomal RNA
Source: RNAcentral
UAGAUACCCCACUAUACUUAGCCGUAAACCUUGAUGGGCCCCCUACUAACCCCUCCGCCAGAGAACUACGAGUAAAAAACUUAAAACCCAAAGGACUUGACGGUGCCCCACACCAGCCUAGAGGAGCCUGUCCUAUAAUCGAUACCCCACGCUUCACCCCUCCCCCCCUCGCACCAAGCAGCCUAUAUACCGCCGUCGCCAGCCUGCCUAGUGAUAGACACACAGCAGGCAGAACAGCCCACCCACUAACACGUCAGGUCAAGGUGUAGCUAAUGGUGGGGCCUGAGAUGGGCUACAUUUUCUAGACACUAGAAAACACCACGGGCUACAUGAAAUUUUAGCCACAAGGUGGAUUUAGCAGUAAGCUAGGGCAAGAUAUGCCCAACUGAAGCCUGCUCUAGGGCGCGUACACACCGCCGG